GCUUAGAGUUUGAUCCUGGCUCAGAUUGAACGCUGGCGGCAUGGCUAAGACAUGCAAGUCGAACGAUUGAAAGUGGCGAACGGGCGAGUAAUGCGAUCGAACGUACCCCGAGGUGGGGGAUAGCGACGGGAAACUGUCGGUAAUACCCCAUGUGCUCUCCGGAGGAAAGGCUUGCCGCCUCGGGAGCGGCGAUCGUCCUAUCAGGUUGUUGGUGGGGUAAUGGCCCACCAAGCCGAAGACGGGUAGCGGGUGUGAGAGCAUGACCCGCCGCAUCGGGACUGAGACACUGCCCGGACUCCUACGGGAGGCUGCAGUAACGAAUCUUCCGCAAUGGGCGAAAGCCUGACGGAGCAAUGCCGCGUGUGGGAUGAAGCGGUUUCGCCGUGUAAACCACUGUCAGGGUCUACCACCACCGAGGAGACCCAGAGGAAGGGCCGGCUAAUUCCGUGCCAGCAGCCGCGGUAAUACGGAAGGCCCGAGCGUUAUUCGGAAUCACUGGGCUUAAAGCGUCCGCAGGCGGACCGGCAGGCAUGUCGUGAAAGCCCACGGCUCAACCGUGGAACUGCGAUGUGAACCGCCGGUCUUGAGGCAGGUAGGGGCUGACGGAACCGAGGGUGGAGCGGUGAAAUGCGUAGAUAUCCUCGGGAACGCCGAUGGCGAAGGCAGUCAGCUGGGCCUGUCCUGACGCUCAGGGACGAAAGCGUGGGGAGCGAACGGGAUUAGAUACCCCGGUAGUCCACGCCGU
Molecule: ribosomal RNA, 745 nt
Filed under: uncultured bacterium
Lineage: Bacteria
Description: bacterial SSU rRNA
Rfam family: Bacterial small subunit ribosomal RNA
Source: RNAcentral